RNAcentral lists this long non-coding RNA (633 nucleotides) under Dasypus novemcinctus (nine-banded armadillo). Its description in RNAcentral is "lncRNA (ENSDNOG00000052205.1)". Lineage: Eukaryota; Metazoa; Chordata; Mammalia; Cingulata; Dasypodidae. The record is from RNAcentral.
UGGGUCAACGGGGAUGUGUGGGGUAAAAACCGUGGAUUUGGGGAAAGGUCGAUGGGUGAUUUGGGCUGGUUUCUAAGCCAACCUGGGCGGGGAGAUCUAAGAUGCUGUUCCGAACCCAAAACAACAAGACGGCGGGUGGCGCCACGUGCUCCUUGAGUCCCCAGCAGUGCAGUGCGCUGGAGCGGGUUUGGCCGAGAGAAGGCAAUUCUGCCCAAACAGCAAAGCCGCGAUAUUGGGCAGCAGGGAAAAGAAGGCUUGGCGAGGGAGACAUGGAAAAUUAGACGGGCAGAGCCAGCAGCCCCCCAACAAAAACCAAACCAGAUCCUGGAAAAAAGAUAAAAGAGGGCCAGGAGAGCUCAGCACACAGGGAUGCCUCGGAGAAAGAAAAGACACAGGUAGGUGUUCAAACAGGCAGAAAACCCCGCAGGCUCACAUACGUUUACAUGAAUGUACACAUGGAGAACCACAGCACACACAAAAACAUAUCCAAAAGCAUAAGCACCCUCAAAUACCGAUGCACUCGAAAUGCAAGCCUGAUCCACGCAGGGUCCCGGCGGUAGGGUUCCCAGUCCGCGGCCUGACUCUCGCUGUUCCGGAGAGCUCUGCCCCAGCCGGGGCCGACCCUUCCGGGCC